Molecule: ribosomal RNA, 866 nt
Filed under: uncultured bacterium
Lineage: Bacteria
Description: bacterial SSU rRNA
Rfam family: Bacterial small subunit ribosomal RNA
Source: RNAcentral
AGAGUUUGAUCCUGGCUCAGAUUGAACGCUGGCGGCAGGCUUAACACAUGCAAGUCGAACGGUAACAGGAGAAAGCUUGCUUUCUUGCUGACGAGUGGCGGACGGGUGAGUAAUGCUUGGGAAUCUGGCUUAUGGAGGGGGAUAACUACGGGAAACUGUAGCUAAUACCGCGUAAUAUCUUCGGAUUAAAGGGUGGGACUUUCGGGCCACCUGCCAUAAGAUGAGCCCAAGUGGGAUUAGGUAGUUGGUGGGGUAAAGGCCUACCAAGCCGACGAUCUCUAGCUGGUCUGAGAGGAUGACCAGCCACACUGGAACUGAGACACGGUCCAGACUCCUACGGGAGGCAGCAGUGGGGAAUAUUGCACAAUGGGGGGAACCCUGAUGCAGCCAUGCCGCGUGAAUGAAGAAGGCCUUCGGGUUGUAAAGUUCUUUCGGUGAUGAGGAAGGUGUUUGUUUUAAUAGAACAAGCAAUUGACGUUAGUCACAGAAGAAGCACCGGCUAACUCCGUGCCAGCAGCCGCGGUCAAUACGGAGGGUGCGAGCGUUAAUCGGAAUGACUGGGCGUAAAGGGCACGCAGGCGGUGACUUAAGUGAGAUGUGAAAGCCCCGAGCUUAACUUGGGAAUUGCAUUUCAUACUGGGUCGCUAGAGUAUUUUAGGGAGGGGUAGAAUUCCACGUGUAGCGGUGAAAUGCGUAGGGAUGUGGAGGAAUACCGAAGGCGAAGGCAGCCCCUUGGGAAUAUACUGACGCUCAUGUGCGAAAGCGUGGGGAGCAAACAGGAUUAGAUACCCUGGUAGUCCACGCUGUAAACGCUGUCGAUUUGGGGAUUGGGCUUAGAGCUUGGUGCCCGUAGCUAACGUGAUAAA